GGAUGGAUUGCAAUAUAUACACAGGGACAUGUUGGUACAAGGUCUCUUUCAUUCUGCUCUGUGGUUCUGCAGACAAAAGCCUAUUGGUAAUUAAUUCUCUCUGGCAGUUCUCCAGUUCCUCCUCAGUUUGAGUUACUUGUCUGUUGCCUCCUCCCACUUUCCUAGAGUUGAAUCUGACUCUUAUUAUUUGGGAGCCAAAAACUCUGUCUAUAAACCUGCCUGCAAAUUUUUGGUCUUAUGGUCCUGUGGCUUCUUUGAGACUUUGGUUCGGUUUGGGAGAAAACGUUCCUUGGAAUGCAGUAAGAGAACUGCAGAUGGGACUGUCUAAUUGCAGGAAAACAAGCACAGGCCUCCCCCUGAUUCUACGUUAUGCUGGAGCACAGUGGUGUGAUCAUGGCUCACUGUGGUCUCGACCUCCUGGCUCAAACAAUCCUCCUGACUAAGCCUCUCAAGUAGCUGGGACAACAGGUAUGCACCAUCAUGCUUGGCUAAUUUUUCUAUUUUUUUGUAGAAGUAGGGUCUUGCUGUGUUGCCCAGGCUGGUCUCAAACUCCCGGCCUCAUGCAGUCCUUCU
Molecule: long non-coding RNA, 573 nt
Filed under: Callithrix jacchus (white-tufted-ear marmoset)
Lineage: Eukaryota; Metazoa; Chordata; Mammalia; Primates; Cebidae
Description: lncRNA (ENSCJAG00000073783.1)
Source: RNAcentral